Lepisosteus oculatus (spotted gar) is the source of this 2256-nucleotide long non-coding RNA. The record is from Ensembl. NCBI's taxonomy places the organism in Eukaryota, Metazoa, Chordata, Actinopteri, Semionotiformes, Lepisosteidae.
AAACUGCAGACAUGUUUUGAUUGUGUUCUUUCUUGGAGUCUGACUUGCAUCUUUUCUGUUUCAAGGAUGGUGCCGUUGACAUUGAAGGGCUCAAAUGUGAAAUCCUUUGCAAGGCUCUCCAGAGAGACGAGUAAGAUUUUUCAAAACAUAUUUGUCCUUUUAUGCCCUCGUGCACAAUAGUCUUCAGUUUUGUUCCCAUUUUCAGUGGGAAUAGCAGUGGGAAUUAAAGAUGAAGACAAUGCAGAAAUGACUUUUUUCUAGUCAGGAGAGAUUUAAAUGUUAUAAGACUUAAGGGCAAACAUGGUCAAAUUUAAGAGCUUGCAGAUUACACUGAUCUUUGCCUUUGGUAACUAAAAAAACAAUAUUGUAGUUUACUUCAGGCUGAGUGAGGGCAUAGCUGCUUCUUGUUCUUCUUAAAAGCACACAUGUGUGACUAUCUUAUUAUUUAGCCAGGCAGGCCGCCUCCUUGCAUCUGUUAGCUUUCUUUCCAGGCGAAAGAUUGACUCAGGGUAUUUUGGAUGCCACAAGUUCAGUCUCGAAUUCCGAGUUAGGGAGAGAGGUGUGGGGACAGGUCAGGGACAAAACCAGACUCGCAACAUCCUGACUGUAGCCCUGUGCCCUCCAGCUGGUCCUCUGUGGAUGGGAGCGACGACCCAGUCGAAGCAGCAAAGGACAGCAUCUUUGUCAAGAUCUUGCAGAAGCUCAUUAAAGAGGGGGUUUGUCUGCAGACUUACUUGCCUGACGUCGAUGCCCUGCUUCAGUCAGAAGAGCUGGAGAGACUGCGGUCCAAGACCUACUUUGAGUUUGCUCUGCGGGCCAACUAUGAACACUAUCUGCAAGCCCAGACAUGAGCUGACCGAGCGCCUCUCCCAACUGUGACUCCACUCAGCUCGUGGCCUCCCGGGCCCUUCGUUUUUAGUCUUCUAAAAACUAAUUUCCCAUUUUGUAAUAAACUUUGCCGAAUUUCUGUUCUCUCCCCUGUUCUUCGUCGUCAUCCGAAAGUCCUAGCACAAAGCUUAAUGGAGUUGAAGCAAGGGCAGAGUUUGUUUAUAUGUUUAUUAUUAAAAGAUUUUCAAUUUUCUGUAUAAAGCAACUGUUUAUAGUUUACAGUUACAAUGAAUAGUAAUGGAGACUUACUAAAAUAUUGUUACACAUGUCUGUGUAGUAUCUGCUGUUGUUGAAAGAUUGAGUGCAAAGUGCAAAAUCUUUUAUUACCUUAAUGAGCCUGAAAAAUGGUCAGCUACCCUCUUGAUAUAAUGAGAUCGUUUAUAACUGUCAUUAAUUUCCACUGUGCUUAGUUUCUUAUGCCUUAAUGGCAUAAUGAAAUAUUUAGAGAAAAGGCUUCUGUUUCUUAAAAGUCCAUGCCUUGUAAAAAAUGGCUUUGCAACUAUCAGAAUGAGCAUACACCCCUUCUACACAGGAGUGAAUGCUGCUGGAAUAUAGUGCUGUAGGAAAAACCUGACUGUACAGGCACCGAUUUCCAUUGAUCCUGAAGAGCUUCAUGGAUCAAUAAGCACCUCGGGAAGCUGCUUGGAAGAAAUCAUGCAGAGCUCUGUCUAACCUCUGAGCUGUUAGGCAAGGCAAGCCAAGCCACCAGCUUCAUGUGGCAGGAGCUGAGCCGAAAGCAGCAAUGCUCCAAACAGAUGUCGCCGUGUCUUCAAGUUGCUAAAAUAGGAAAGGAGAGUUAAAUCAGGGACAUCUGCAAUAAAUUAAAUGCUGAAUGUGACAGAUUUCCCCGUCGCUCAAUAUGGAAGUUCUGUGCAGAAUUGUAAUGUUGUAUAGCUUCAUGGUCGUUGGCAAAUAAUUUUACUUCUGCUUCCUUAAAGGCUCUUAAUCAUUCCAAGUAGCGUUUUCCAUGUAAUCACUUGACAAAAAGUGUGUAAUGCAAGGAGUCCAAAGUGUUUCUUUUUCAAAUAAAAAUACUUUUAUGUAACCUAAUGCUUAAACUAAUCUAAAUUUAAAAGUAUUACAGUGAUGCAUGUAUGGUGCUUUUCAGACUUCUCUGCCUCCCUUGGAACACAGGCUCUUUCCAGACUCACUUUCAGGGGUUGUCAGAUUUAGAAAUCUGUCCCUCAGAUAGUUAGGUUGAAAAACAGCAAUAAAAUAUUUUGUGACUCAUUGAUAUGCAGAAGUGUGUAAAAUGAACUUUGGGGGCAGAUCGAGGCCGGGAGCUGUGUCCAGUCUCUGUCCAGCUUUGCUGUCCUGCACUUUGCUUCCCGGAUACAUGGUCAGCAGAGGAUCAAUCCUCUACUGGAA